Molecule: unclassified non-coding RNA, 231 nt
Filed under: Trematosphaeria sp.
Lineage: Eukaryota; Fungi; Ascomycota; Dothideomycetes; Pleosporales; Trematosphaeriaceae
Description: partial internal transcribed spacer region
Rfam family: Eukaryotic small subunit ribosomal RNA (bases 1-47)
Source: RNAcentral
AAAGUCGUAACAAGGUUUCCGUAGGUGAACCUGCGGAAGGAUCAUUACCGUCCGAGCCCCUGGUUGGCCGGUGACAAGUAUGAAAACCCUUGCCCUCUUUUGCGCACCCUUCGUUUUCCUCGGCAGCUCUGCCUGCCAGCGGGGACCCCUAAGAAACCUUUUUGCAAUACCUGUACAACCUUCUGAAAAACCCAAUCGUUAAAACUUUCAACAAUGGAUCUCUUGGCUCUG